AAAGUGCUACAUUGUUUGGG
RNAcentral lists this microRNA (20 nucleotides) under Anolis carolinensis (green anole). Its description in RNAcentral is "aca-miR-5420". Lineage: Eukaryota; Metazoa; Chordata; Lepidosauria; Squamata; Anolidae. The record is from miRBase by way of RNAcentral.